GGUAACCCGUUCUGGUCCUUUUCCUGACUGUGGAAGCUUUGUUCUUUUGCUCUUUGCAAUAAAUCUUGCUACUGCUCACUCUUUGGGUCCAUGCUGCUUUUGUGAGCUGUAACACUCAUCGUGAAGAUCUGCAGCUUCAUUCCUGAGCCAGCGAGACCACAAACCCACCAGAAGGAAGAAACUGUGAACACAUGCGAACAUCGGAAAGAACAAGCUCCAGACGCGCCACCUUAAGUGCUGUAACAGUAACCGCGAGGGUCUGCGGCUUCAUUCUUGAAGUCAGUGAGACCAAGAAGCCACCAAUUCUGGACACAUCAUGAUGACCAGUGGUCCACUUUUGCAUAGCAAAGUGCACUGCAGCACAGUCUUCAAACAAUGCCUGCUGCAUAAAUAACCCUUCACAAACAUGCUUCUUUAACCUCCGGAGUGGUUAUGGGUUUUGGCAAGAAAGUCUGAGAUGUGACCAGCUGCAUAUAUUUUACCCUAAGACCUUGCUAUAGAAAGGAUGUUUUCUGGAGUGUCCAUCGUCUUGCAGCUCUCCCAGACGUGGCUUCUGUUGCUUAGUCCUUGUUCAAAAUUUCUUUUGGAGAAACUGGAUUUGUUAGCCACUUAUUUCAUUCAGCCUUUGUUCCAUAAAAGGGUCAUACAUGUAAAGUGGCUCCCAAACGCUGAAGGAGCCGAGAAACCAAAAACAAGGCAGAUAGAUCCAGUUUGUCAGUAAAUGGUGAUUUGCUGGGGAAUUUACAGACAGAAGUGUAGUCUUGGGUGGCAGCAAGUCAGGUAGAUCUCCACACCUGUUACCCCCAGACCCAGGGCUUACCCCGGAAAGGGUGUAUACUUCCUGUAGAGACAAUUAAAAGCAACCUUUCAGAACAGGCAGGAAUGCUAUGUGCGUCGUAGCCUGUAAUUUAUGCCAUAAUAUCAAG
RNAcentral lists this long non-coding RNA (926 nucleotides) under Homo sapiens (human). RNAcentral describes it as "HSALNT0333676". The record is from RNAcentral. Lineage: Eukaryota; Metazoa; Chordata; Mammalia; Primates; Hominidae.